This is a long non-coding RNA of Mauremys mutica (yellowpond turtle), 783 nucleotides long. RefSeq lists it as uncharacterized. The record is from RefSeq and is a predicted model, not a curated record. The transcript is spliced from 4 exons. Lineage: Eukaryota; Metazoa; Chordata; Testudines; Geoemydidae.
AGGGAGGUCUUAUUAGAUCCCAUGCAGGGAUGAGUUCUUUAAUCUGAGGAAAACAGUUUCCCAACUCCUUUGGUAAAUAUUACUGUCAUGGGAUGAGCAAAUACUGAGAAUUCCUUCUCCAAGAAAUGGAAAGCCGUAACAGCCAUCAAGUGAACUCUGAUAGAACUCAUAGAUAAUCCUGAUUUUUUAAAAAAAAAUUCCAAUAGAUAGUGCAGGACAGCAGAGAGAGAGAGAGGAAAGAGCAGAUGAACGAUGCUACUGGUCAGACCAAUGGUGGAAUCUCUUCCAUUUCUGAAGGUAAGCGUUUCUUGUAGAAUUUUUCCUACUGUUGUACAGCAGCUGCUGUACCUCUGCAGAACAGGAAGUCUCUAUUUCUGUGAACCAUCAAGGAACCAAGCCUUGAGGGAGAGAAUUCCCAGGUUGGGAUGGAGAGUCUGACCAGCAUCUUGUGCGAGGGAAUGAGGAAUGGACAGAAGACUGAACACUGGACAAAGGGCAAGCUGAAUUAGCUGAUCAAACUGCUCUCUUGUGGAUCCUAGAGGCUGCCAAUCUUCCAGAAUAAUUACACCACUGGCAGUAGCAUCAUAAAUUAUUCACAUUAUCCUGACAAUGUAUUUAUAAACCUGAUCUGGAGGAACCAACUCUCAGUGUGAGAGCAGGAAGGUCCUUGAAAGAAAUACAUUCAGAUGAGGAAGGACCACAAGCAAAUGAUGAACUCGAUUUUACAAACUGCCAAAGCCUUUGCGAAUACUCAGGAAGAGGUGCAGUAAAUUUAAAGCACAC